This 511-nucleotide ribosomal RNA is filed under the name uncultured Bacillota bacterium. RNAcentral's name for it is "bacterial SSU rRNA". It matches the Rfam family "Bacterial small subunit ribosomal RNA", at positions 355 to 882 of the family's 1533-position model. The record is from RNAcentral. Lineage: Bacteria; Bacillati; Bacillota.
UGGGGAAUAUUGCGCAAUGGGGGAAACCCUGACGCAGCAACGCCGCGUGAAGGAUGAAGGUUUUCGGAUUGUAAACUUCUUUGAUUGGGGACGAUAAUGACGGUACCCAAAAAACAAGCCACGGCUAACUACGUGCCAGCAGCCGCGGUAAUACGUAGGUGGCAAGCGUUGUCCGGAUUUACUGGGUGUAAAGGGCGUGUAGGCGGGGAUGCAAGUCAGAUGUGAAAUUCCGGGGCUCAACCCCGGCGCUGCAUCUGAAACUGUAUCUCUUGAGUGCUGGAGAGGAAAGCGGAAUUCCUAGUGUAGCGGUGAAAUGCGUAGAUAUUAGGAGGAACACCAGUGGCGAAGGCGGCUUUCUGGACAGUAACUGACGCUGAGGCGCGAAAGCGUGGGGAGCGAACAGGAUUAGAUACCCUGGUAGUCCACGCCGUAAACGAUGGAUACUAGGUGUAGGAGGUAUCGACCCCUUCUGUGCCGGAGUUAACACAAUAAGUAUCCCACCUGGGGAGUA